AUGAUCCAGAGUACCACGGGACACGUGAAACCCUGUGGGAAGCAGGAGGGACCACCCUCCAAGGCUAAAUACUACCUAGUGACCGAUAGCGUAUAGUACCGUGAGGGAAAGGUGAAAAGAACCCCGGGAGGGGAGUGAAAUAGAACCUGAAACCCUGCACUUACAAGCUGUGGAAGCACAUUUCUUGUGUGACCGCGUACUUUUUGUAGAACGGGCCAACGAGUUACGUUAAGUAGCAAGGUUAAGCACUUAAGGUGUGGAGCCGUAGCGAAAGCGAGUUUUAACUGAGCGUUCAGUUACUUGACGUAGACCCGAAACCGGGCGACCUACCCAUGAGCAGGAUGAAGCGAAAGUAAAAUUUCGUGGAGGUCCGAACCCACGAGCGUUGAAAAGCUCGGGGAUGACUUGUGGGUAGCGGUGAAAUUCCAAUCGAGCCCGGAGAUAGCUGGUUCUCCCCGAAAUAGCUUUAGGGCUAGCCUCAAGGUGAGAGAUACGGAGGUAGAGCACUGAAUGUCCUAGGGGGUAUUGCACCUACCGAAGACUAUCAAACUCCGAAUGCCGUCAUCUUAUACUUGGGAGUCAGACUGUGGGUGAUAAGAUUCAUAGUCGAAAGGGCAACAGCCCAGAUCGUCAGCUAAGGUCCCUAAAUGUAAGUUAAGUGGUAAAGGAUGUGGGAUUGCACAGACAACCAGGAUGUUGGCUUAGAAGCAGCCACUCAUUCAAAGAGUGCGUAAUAGCUCACUGGUCGAGUGAUCCUGCGCCGAAGAUUUCCGGGGCUAAAACUUACUACCGAAGCUACGGCAUCAGUAAUGAUGGGUAGGGGAGCUUCCCAUACGGGUUGAAGCAUGACCGUAAGGACAUGUGGACAGUAUGGGAGUGAGAAUGUUGGCAUGAGUAGCGAGAUGUGGGUGAGAAUCCCACAGGCCGUAAACCCAAGGUUUCCAGGGGAAGGUUCGUCCGCCCUGGGUUAGUCGGGACCUAAGCUGAGGCCGAAAGGCGUAGGUGAUGGACAACAGGUUGAUAUUCCUGUACUACCGAUAACCGUUUGAGAGAAGGGAUGACACAGUAGGAUAAGCUAAGCACACUGUUGGUUAUGUGUGCCCAAGCAUUGAGGCAGUCAAAGUAGGCAAAUCCGCUUUGAUAAUGCUGGGAUGUGAUGGGGAGCGAAAUUUAGUAGCGAAGUAGCUGAUUUCACACUGUCAAGAAAAGUCUCUAUCGAGGUUAAAGGUACCCGUACCGCAAACCGACACAGGUGGGUGAGGAGAGUAUCCUAAGGCCAGCGAGAGAACUGUUGUUAAGGAACUCGGCAAAAUGACCCCGUAACUUAGGGAUAAGGGGUGCCACCAUCAGGUGGCCGCAGAGAAUAGGCCCAAGCGACUGUUUACCAAAAACAUAGGUUUCUGCUAAGUCGCAAGACGAUGUAUAGGAGCUGACGCCUGCCCGGUGCUGGAAGGUUAAGGGGAUCUGUUAGAGCAAUCGAAGCAGUGAACUUAAGCCCCAGUAAACGGCGGCCGUAACUAUAACGGUCCUAAGGUAGCGAAAUUCCUUGUCGGGUAAGUUCCGACCCGCACGAAAGGCGUAACGAUUUGGGCACUGUCUCAACAACAGACUCGGUGAAAUUGUAAUUCCGGUGAAGAUGCCGGAUACCUGCGACAGGACGGAAAGACCCCAUGGAGCUUUACUGUAGCUUGACAUUGGGUUUUGGUACUACAUGUACAGGAUAGGUGGGAGGCUUUGAAACCAGGACGCCAGUUUUGGCGGAGCCAUCCUUGGGAUACCACCCUUGUAGUACUGGGACUCUAACCAUAGGCCAUGAAUCUGGUCUUGGGACACUGUCAGGUGGGCAGUUUGACUGGGGCGGUCGCCUCCCAAAAGGUAACGGAGGCGCUCAAAGGUUCUCUCAGUACGGUCGGAAAUCGUACGUAGAGUGUAAAGGCAAAAGAGAGCUUGAUUGCAAGACAUACAGGUCGAGCAAGGAUGAAAAUCGGACUUAGUGAUCCGGUGGUUCUGCGUGGAAGGGCCAUCGCUCAACGGAUAAAAGCUACCCUGGGGAUAACAGGCUUAUCUCCCCCAAGAGUCCACAUCGACGGGGAGGUUUGGCACCUCGAUGUCGGCUCAUCACAUCCUGGGGCUGUAGUAGGUCCCAAGGGUUGGGCUGUUCGCCCAUUAAAGUGGUACGCGAGCUGGGUUCAGAACGUCGUGAGACAGUUCGGUCCCUAUCCGUCGCAGGCGUAGGAAAUUUGAGAAGACCUGUCCUUAGUACGAGAGGACCGGGAUGGACGUACCUCUGGUGUACCAGUUGUUCUGCCAAGGGCAUGGCUGGGUAGCUAUGUACGGAAUGGAUAAGCGCUGAAAGCAUCUAAGCGCGAAGCCAACUUCAAGAUAAGAUUUCCCACCGUAAGGGUAAGACCCCAGAAAGACUAUCUGGUUGA
This 2432-nucleotide ribosomal RNA is filed under the name Clostridioides difficile. Its description in RNAcentral is "bacterial LSU rRNA". It matches the Rfam family "Bacterial large subunit ribosomal RNA", at positions 402 to 2856 of the family's 2925-position model. The record is from RNAcentral. Lineage: Bacteria; Bacillati; Bacillota; Clostridia; Peptostreptococcales; Peptostreptococcaceae.